UCCUCCCUCUUUCUUCGCGCUUAACACAUGCAAGUCGAGCGAUGAAAUCUUGACAGAUCCCUUCGGGGUGAAGAUAAGAUGGAUUAGCGGCGGACGGGUGAGUAACACGUGAGUAACCUGCCUUAGACAUUGGGAUAGCCUCGGGAAACCGGGAUUAAUACCAAAUGAAAUCAUAGGUGCCCAUGCACUAAUGAUCAAAACUCCGGUGGUCUAAGAUGGACUCGCGUCCCAUUAGCUAGUUGGUGAGGUAAUGGCCCACCAAGGCGACGAUGGGUAGCCGGCCUGAGAGGGUGAACGGCCACAUUGGAACUGAGAACCGGUCCAAACUCCUACGGGAGGCAGCAGUGGGGAAUAUUGCACAAUGGAGGGAACUCUGAUGCAGCGACGCCGCGUGAACGAUGAAGGCUUUCGAGUCGUAAAGUUCUUUUAUAUGGGAAGAUAAUGACGGUACCAUAAGAAAAAGCCCCGGCUAACUACGUG
RNAcentral lists this ribosomal RNA (480 nucleotides) under uncultured bacterium. Its description in RNAcentral is "partial 16S ribosomal RNA". It matches the Rfam family "Bacterial small subunit ribosomal RNA", at positions 36 to 507 of the family's 1533-position model. The record is from RNAcentral.